RNAcentral lists this small RNA (413 nucleotides) under Pan troglodytes (chimpanzee). RNAcentral describes it as "processed transcript". Lineage: Eukaryota; Metazoa; Chordata; Mammalia; Primates; Hominidae. The record is from RNAcentral.
CAGGGCACAGCUUCCGCUCUGUGCUCUGUGUCAUGCUCCUGCUGUGCUACCACACCUUCCUCACCUUCGUGCUCGGUACUGGGAACGUCAACAUCGAGGAGGCCGAGAAGCUCUUGAAGCCCUACCUGAACCGGUACCCUAAGGGUGCCAUCUUCCUGUUCUUUGCAGGGCGGAUUGAAGUCAUUAAAGGCAACAUUGAUGCAGCCAUCCGGCGUUUCGAGGAGUGCUGUGAGGCCCAGCAGCACUGGAAGCAGUUCCACCACAUGUGCUACUGGGAGCUGAUGUGGUGCUUCACCUACAAGGGCCAGUGGAAGAUGUCCUACUUCUACGCCGACCUGCUCAGCAAGGAGAACUGCUGGUCCAAGGACUCAGGCUUGGAAGGAACUAAAGACCACAAGAGAAACUUCUGAACC